ACUCCUGCGGGAGGCAGCAGUAGGGAAUCUUCCACAAUGGGUGCAAACCUGAUGGAGCAAUGCCGCGUGAGUGAAGAAGGUCUUCGGAUCGUAAAGCUCUGUUGUUAGAGAAGAACACGUGCUAGGUAACUACUAGCGCCUUGACGGUAUCUAACCAGAAAGUCACGGCUAACUACGUGCCAGCAGCCGCGGUAAUACGUAGGUGACAAGCGUUGUCCGGAUUUAUUGGGCGUAAAGGGAGCGCAGGCGGUCUGUUUAGUCUAAUGUGAAAGCCCACGGCUUAACCGUGGAACGGCAUUGGAAACUGACAGACUUGAAUGUAGAAGAGGAAAAUGGAAUUCCAAGUGUAGCGGUGGAAUGCGUAGAUAUUUGGAGGAACACCAGUGGCGAAGGCGAUUUUCUGGUCUAACAUUGACGCUGAGGCUCGAAAGCGUGGGGAGCGAACAGGAUUAGAAACCCUUGUAGUCCCAUG
RNAcentral lists this ribosomal RNA (472 nucleotides) under uncultured organism. Its description in RNAcentral is "partial 16S ribosomal RNA". It matches the Rfam family "Bacterial small subunit ribosomal RNA", at positions 335 to 799 of the family's 1533-position model. The record is from RNAcentral.